GGUCUUAUGGUUUAAAAAAAAUAUUAGACUGCAAUUCUAAAGUUACGCCUGAUUUAGGGUGUUAAGACCU
Molecule: transfer RNA, 70 nt
Filed under: Caenis pycnacantha
Lineage: Eukaryota; Metazoa; Arthropoda; Insecta; Ephemeroptera; Caenidae
Description: tRNA-Cys
Rfam family: tRNA
About the family: Transfer RNA (tRNA) molecules are approximately 80 nucleotides in length.
Source: RNAcentral